This 981-nucleotide long non-coding RNA is filed under the name Fukomys damarensis (Damara mole-rat). RNAcentral's name for it is "lncRNA (ENSFDAG00000033490.1)". The record is from RNAcentral. Lineage: Eukaryota; Metazoa; Chordata; Mammalia; Rodentia; Bathyergidae.
UUACUCAAGGGUUAAUGAUUUUUGUUUUAAAAUUUGGUUUUUAGAAGUUACUUCAAAACAUGAGUACUCUUCAAUUGUACAAGAACAAUCCGUCCAAAUUCAGACUCCUAAAUUAGGUGACGAAUCUAAGGAAGACUCUGCUUCUGAGGAUGACACAAAACAAGGACGAGGGGUGUCAGACACACAGAAAAAAAGGACACCGUCUGACUACAGGAAACAUCUCUUUUCUGAGAAGGAGCACGAUUCAAGUUCUAGUACCAGUGAACUCCCCUGGACCAGUAACCAGAAAAGGAAAUCCUUAAAAUCAUACUCCAGCAGAAGAAAGAUGAGAGAGAGAAGCAAGAUGAAAAUUUUGCCACUUUUCCCUCACAGUAGUGGCAGUGAACAUGAGGAAGGUCAAGCUAAACUUCUAACACCAGUAUGGAAAGACAGCUCCAGACAAAACAGUGCCACACCUUCAGAAAUGUCUGGAAGAAAACUCCAGGGUAGUUCUGCCUUUUUAAGUCUUGAAGAUUCUGUGCAGAAAACUGAACUUCCAAGUCCCCACCCACCGAGUGAUCUAUCUGCCUUGGAGUACUCAGAAGUUGAAGAAAACAUGUCUCAGAUUAUAAACCAAGAGUCAUUAAUGGAAAAUACAGGAUUCAAACAUAAGCUGGCAAACUUGGAAGACAAAGACUCUCCAGAAGGGAGUUUUGCUAAACCCAAGCAAUCAAGACUGGAAGAUGGCGAUGUUCCAGGAGCCGGCGGCUUGGCAGACACUGUGCCAGAGAACUUGGAUGGUUCUGCCAUUAUCACAGUGUUGGAAAACUUCACUGGAGACCUGAAAAGAAGAUAUGAGCUUGAGUACAGAAAGAGUCCAGUUUAUUCAACAAGGGCAAAGAAAGCACCAGAUUGCCUACGAAAACUUUUAAACCAGAUACACACGCACAGGUAAUUAUUGAAUUUCAAAACAAAUUCAUGGAAGUAUGAUCACUCACAGCU